RNAcentral lists this ribosomal RNA (429 nucleotides) under Chloroflexota bacterium. RNAcentral describes it as "Chloroflexi bacterium partial 16S ribosomal RNA". It matches the Rfam family "Bacterial small subunit ribosomal RNA", at positions 355 to 776 of the family's 1533-position model. The record is from RNAcentral. Lineage: Bacteria; Bacillati; Chloroflexota.
UGGGGAAUAUUGCACAAUGGGCGCAAGCCUGAUGCAGCCAUGCCGCGUGUGUGAAGAAGGCCUUCGGGUUGUAAAGCACUUUCAGCGGGGAGGAAGGCGGUGAGGUUAAUAACCUUGGCGAUUGACGUUACCCGCAGAAGAAGCACCGGCUAACUCCGUGCCAGCAGCCGCGGUAAUACGGAGGGUGCAAGCGUUAAUCGGAAUUACUGGGCGUAAAGCGCACGCAGGCGGUCUGUCAAGUCGGAUGUGAAAUCCCCGGGCUCAACCGGGGAACUGCAUUCGAAACUGGCAGGCUAGAGUCGUGUAGAGGAGGGUAGAAUUCCAGGUGUAGCGGUGAAAGGCGUAGAGAUCUGGAGGAAUACGGGUGGCGAAGGCGGCCCCCUGGACAAAGACUGACGCUCAGGUGCGAAAGCGUGGGGAGCAAACAGG